AGCAAGCGUUGUUCGGAAUUACUGGGCGUAAAGAGUGUGUAGGCGGUGCUCUAAGUCUGUUGGGAAAUCUCCGGGCUUAACUCGGAAACUGCCGUUGAUACUAUCAGUCUUGAAUGUUGUGGAGGUAAGCGGAAUAUGUCAUGUAGCGGUGAAAUGCUUAGAUAUGACAUAGAACACCGAUAGCGAAGGCAGCUUGCUACACAAUAAUUGACACUGAGGCACGAAAGCGUGGGGAUCAAACAGG
Molecule: ribosomal RNA, 244 nt
Filed under: uncultured bacterium
Lineage: Bacteria
Description: partial 16S ribosomal RNA
Rfam family: Bacterial small subunit ribosomal RNA
Source: RNAcentral